GAGUUUGAUCCUGGCUCAGGAUGAACGCUGGCGGCGUGCCUAAUACAUGCAAGUCGAACGCACUGAUUUUAUCAGUGAGUGGCGAACGGGUGAGUAAUACAUAAGUAACCUGCCCUCAUGAGGGGGAUAACUAUUAGAAAUGAUAGCUAAGACCGCAUAGGUGAAGGGGUCGCAUGACCGCUUCAUUAAAUAUCCGUAAGGAUAGCAGGAGGAUGGACUUAUGGCGCAUUAGCUGGUUGGUGAGGUAACGGCUCACCAAGGCGACGAUGCGUAGCCGACCUGAGAGGGUGGACGGCCACACUGGGACUGAGACACGGCCCAGACUCCUACGGGAGGCAGCAGUAGGGAAUUUUCGGCAAUGGGGGAAACCCUGACCGAGCAACGCCGCGUGAGGGAAGAAGUAUUUCGGUAUGUAAACCUCUGUUAUAAAGGAAGAACGGUAUGAAUAGGAAAUGAUUCAUAAGUGACGGUACUUUAUGAGAAAGCCAC
RNAcentral lists this ribosomal RNA (489 nucleotides) under uncultured bacterium. RNAcentral's name for it is "bacterial SSU rRNA". It matches the Rfam family "Bacterial small subunit ribosomal RNA", at positions 9 to 494 of the family's 1533-position model. The record is from RNAcentral.